ACGCUCGACACCUACGGGAAGCAGCAGUAGGGAAUCUUCCACAAUGGGCGCAAGCCUGAUGGAGCAACACCGCGUGAGUGAAGAAGGGUUUCGGCUCGUAAAGCUCUGUUGUUGGAGAAGAACGUGCGUGAGAGUAACUGUUCACGCAGUGACGGUAUCCAACCAGAAAGUCACGGCUAACUACGUGUCAGCAGCCGCGGUAAUCUGAGCGGGCUGGCAAGGC
This 223-nucleotide ribosomal RNA is filed under the name uncultured bacterium. Its description in RNAcentral is "partial 16S ribosomal RNA". It matches the Rfam family "Bacterial small subunit ribosomal RNA", at positions 326 to 539 of the family's 1533-position model. The record is from RNAcentral.